This 253-nucleotide ribosomal RNA is filed under the name uncultured bacterium. RNAcentral's name for it is "partial 16S ribosomal RNA". It matches the Rfam family "Bacterial small subunit ribosomal RNA", at positions 524 to 776 of the family's 1533-position model. The record is from RNAcentral.
UACAGAGGGUGCAAGCGUUAAUCGGAAUUACUGGGCGUAAAGGGCGUGUAGGCGGUUGUAUAAGUUAGAUGUGAAAUCCCCGGGCUCAACCUGGGAAUUGCGUUUAAAACUGUAUAGCUAGAGUAUUGUAGAGGAUAGUGGAAUUUCCAGUGUAGCGGUGAAAUGCGUAGAUAUUGGAAGGAACACCAGUGGCGAAGGCGACUAUCUGGGCAAAUACUGACACUGAGACACGAGAGCAUGGGGAGCAAACAGG